ACUAUUCCAGUUACCCCUUCUACUAUGCCUAGAUAUCAUAUUAUGUAUAAGUAUCUAUUAGCGCUACUAUGUUCUUGGUGGUACUCCAGAAUUAACUUGAUGCUCAUAGUUAUUUGUUAUACUUCAAUCACUGGCAUAUAGUAUAGGCAUUAUCAUGCACUUGUUGGGUGGUUGAGCAUUACUAGGACGCAUGUAACACUUCUAAAAUGGAUCAACUGAUGUAAUAUGUCAUUCCUUUCUAUUCAAGGAGCUUGUCUGCUUGAAUAACUACUUUAUGCUUUUUUUACAUCUACAGUCUCUUCUUCAAGCAAGAGAUGGAGCUUUCUUUGGUCGGGCUCCAAAAUGCUAGGAAAACAUCACUUGCAGCAGCUCGCAGCGACACCCCCGCCUCCUCAUCAUGGAAGCUACAAGAACACUUUGAGUAGGUGAAGAGGAUUUGCGACACUACCACAUUGUCUUUGGCCAAGCAUCAUCUCAGUGAUAAGAUAACAAGCCAACUGGAUAUUUCAAAAUUGAGUGACAAGCUACAGUAAGGGAAGGUAGACUCAAGUGCAUUGACACCAAAGGAGAAGUAUGAAACUUGGAAGGAGAUUAAAAUUAUGAGUUUCAGAAAAAUAGUUUCUCCAAUGUGGGCAAUGACAUUGCUUAGCUUGUAUGUUAGAGUUCAUGUCACCAUAUUAGGUAGCCAUCUCUACUUGGAUUU
Molecule: long non-coding RNA, 703 nt
Organism: Zea mays
Lineage: Eukaryota; Viridiplantae; Streptophyta; Magnoliopsida; Poales; Poaceae
Exons: 3
Source: RefSeq, a predicted model, not a curated record